GACGAACGCUGGCGGCGUGCCUAACACAUGCAAGUCGAACGAAACGGCCCUUCGGGGUACUCGAGUGGCGAACGGGUGAGUAACACGUGGGUUAUCUGCCCUGCACUCUGGGCUAAGCCUGGGCAACUGGGUCUAAUUCCCAAUAGGCCCACGAUCUUCCUGGUGUGUGGUGGCCCGCUUUUGCGGUGUGGGAUGGGCCCGCGGCCUAUUAGCUUGUUGGUGGGGUAAUGGCCUACCAAGGCGACGAUGGGUAGCCGACCUGCGAGGGGGACAGGCGACACUGGGACGGGAAUAAGGCCCAGACUCGUACGGGACGCAGGAGAGGAGAAGAGUGCAUAAGGGGCGGAGGCCAGGUGCAGCGACGCCGCGUGGGGGAUGACGGCCAGCGGGUAGGAAUCCACUGUCCCCAUGGCCGAGGCGUAAGUGACGGUACCGGGAGAAGAAGCACCGGCCAACUACGUG
RNAcentral lists this ribosomal RNA (462 nucleotides) under uncultured bacterium. RNAcentral's name for it is "partial 16S ribosomal RNA". It matches the Rfam family "Bacterial small subunit ribosomal RNA", at positions 28 to 507 of the family's 1533-position model. The record is from RNAcentral.